Molecule: ribosomal RNA, 614 nt
Filed under: uncultured fungus
Lineage: Eukaryota; Fungi
Description: eukaryotic LSU rRNA
Rfam family: 5.8S ribosomal RNA (bases 244-397)
Source: RNAcentral
CUUGGUCAUUUAGAGGAAGUAAAAGUCGUAACAAGGUCUCCGUUGGUGAACCAGCGGAGGGAUCAUUACAAGAAGCCGAAAGGCUACUUCAAACCAUUGCGAACUCGUCCAAGUUGCUUCGGCGGCGCGGCUCCCCCUAACGGGGGCGCAGCAGCCCUGCCUCUCCGGAGGUUCGGGGCGCCCGCCGGAGGUACGAAACUCUGUAUUAUAGUGGCAUCUCUGAGUAAAAAGCAAAUAAGUUAAAACUUUCAACAACGGAUCUCUUGGUUCUGGCAUCGAUGAAGAACGCAGCGAAAUGCGAUAAGUAAUGUGAAUUGCAGAAUUCAGUGAAUCAUCGAAUCUUUGAACGCACAUUGCGCCCGGUAGUACUCUACCGGGCAUGCCUGUUCGAGCGUCAUUUCAACCCUCAAGCUCUGCUUGGUGUUGGGGCCCUACGGCUGCCGUAGGCCCUGAAAGGAAGUGGCGGGCUCGCUACAACUCCGAGCGUAGUAAUUCAUUAUCUCGCUAGGGAGGUUGCGGCGUGCUCCUGCCGUUAAAGACCCAUCUUUAACCAAGGUUGACCUCGGAUCAGGUAGGAAUACCCGCUGAACUUAAGCAUAUCAAUAAGCGGAGGA